GUGCCAGCCGCCGCGGUAAUACGUAGGGGGCAAGCGUUAUCCGGAUUUACUGGGUGUAAAGGGAGCGUAGGUGGCUCGAUAAGUCAGAAGUGAAAGCCCAAGGCUCAACCUUGGGACUGCUUUUGAAACUAUCGGGCUAGAGUGCAGGAGAGGUAAGUGGAAUUCCUAGUGUAGCGGUGAAAUGCGUAGAUAUUAGGAGGAACACCAGUGGCGAAGGCGACUUACUGGACUGUAACUGACACUGAGGCUCGAAAGCGUGGGGAGCAAACAGGAUUAGAAACCCUCGUAGUCC
This 292-nucleotide ribosomal RNA is filed under the name uncultured bacterium. RNAcentral's name for it is "partial 16S ribosomal RNA". It matches the Rfam family "Bacterial small subunit ribosomal RNA", at positions 505 to 796 of the family's 1533-position model. The record is from RNAcentral.